CAAUCCAGCUCCAUUCGGGAAAAAUCGCUCUCUCUAAACUGAUGGUUCCUGCUGAGUGGUAGAAAGGGAAAUUAGGUUUUUGAUUUUGAGAAGCAAUCUUCUGGGUUUUGACAUUUAAGGCAUAAACUACUCAUUGAAAUGCAUUUGUUUCCGAUUAUCUGGUCUUAGCCACAUCUUAAUUAUUCGCAAAUUUCUAGCCCCAAAUUUCAUUCUGUUCUUAUUCGAAUCGAUAUCUGAGAAAGAGUAUGUCCAUGUCAUUAACCCAUCUUUCUUGGUGGUUGUGGAGUGGAAAACACCAAGAGCCCAAAAGACUCUCCAAUGGAUCUUCUUUAAAUUCUUUUCAAGAUUCAGGUUUGUGGGAGUCGGAUGCUUUGAAAUUCCCUUUAGUUAAGGGGCUUCUUCGUUGACAUUUCAAUUUUUUUUUUCUCCCAAAACCUCUUGAUUCUUUGAAUCUCAAAGUCUCUCAAUCUCCCGAACCUCGAUCCACGCAGAUCUUUGAUUUCUGCUAAUUUUUUUUUUUUUUUUUUGUCUUCGUUGAAUGUUCAACCUAGGGUUUUGAUUUUGUCUGUUCCAGUUAUUGCUUCGAUCUCCUGGAUCUCAGUUCCGAAUUUACCUAGGGUUUGAUCGUUUGAUUGUUGGAUUGUUUGGUUGAUCAUGGAGGCGAUCGACGAGCUCGUGCAAUUGUCAGGGUCUAUGCGCCAGGUCACGGCGCUGCUGGCAGAUGAAGAUGCGGACAAGAAUUUGAGUUCCAGUUCUUCUCGCAGGGGUUCAACUUUUCUUAACGUUGUUGCUCUUGGAAAUGUCGGACAUCCUGUUUAAUAGGACAUCCUGUUUAAUGAACCCCAUCUACAAACGAUGGCCAAUGAUGAGCAUCUUCGCAAGGCCUUCUCCUACUUUGAUAGGAAUGGUAAUGGCUAUAUUGAGCGAGAUGAGCUUCGGGAUGCCUUGAUGGAAGAUGGAGCAGAUGAUUGUACAGAUGUAGCAAAUGACAUCUUCCAAGAAGUGGACACGGACAAAAAUGGGUGAAUUAGUUAUGAUGAAUUUGUGGCUAUGAUGAAAACUGGAACAGAUUGGAGAAAGGCUUCUAGGCAUUAUUCAAGAGGGAGAUUCAACAGUCUAAGCAUUAAGCUGAUAAAGGAUGGUUCUCUAAACUUGGGAAAUGAGUAACAUAUACACAAGGUUGGUCUUUUGUUCAUCCACACAAGAAAAGUACUGGAUCAUUCCCAAUUUAUCUUGGACUUGCUUUCUUUUGUGAUUAUUUGUUGGGGGGCUAUUGGUUGAAUGGGGUCCCUUCUGAUUACUGGCUUACAAGGGAUCAUGGAGGGGUGAGUACAUCUUAUUCAUGUCUUCUUCAUAUGUUAAUUGAGUAAAACAUGAGGCCUUGUAGCUAUGGUACGGCAUGUAUGGUUCUGUCCUUUUACCACUUCAACCUUCUGUGGUCGUUUCUGGUUGGCGACAUGAAAUUGGUGAACUCUGUGGUUCUGUAGUAUAUCCUUGUCAAAUAAAUAUUGUCUUGUAGCGUAUGUGUUGUGCUCUAACAUGUAUAUAUAGGAAAAGUGACAUAUGCUUGUCCAGGAUGCAUCACACUGUCAAGGGACAUGUUGCAUACAUUUUGGCUUGGUUUUGUGCAA
This is a long non-coding RNA of Vitis vinifera (wine grape), 1631 nucleotides long. RefSeq lists it as uncharacterized. Lineage: Eukaryota; Viridiplantae; Streptophyta; Magnoliopsida; Vitales; Vitaceae. The record is from RefSeq and is a predicted model, not a curated record. The transcript has 2 exons.